GAUGAACGCUGGCGGCGUGCUUAACACAUGCAAGUCGAACGGUGAAGCCAAGCUUGCUUGGUGGACCAGUGGCGAACGGGUGAGUAACACGUGAGCAACCUGCCCUGGACUCUGGGAUAAGCGCUGGAAACGGCGUCUAAUACUGGAUAAGAGCUUCUACCGCAUGGUGGGGGUUGGAAAGAUUUUUUGGUCUGGGAUGGGCUCGCGGCCUAUCAGCUUGUUGGUGAGGUAAUGGCUCACCAAGGCGUCGACGGGUAGCCGGCCUGAGAGGGUGACCGGCCACACUGGGACUGAGACACGGCCCAGACUCCUACGGGAGGCAGCAGUGGGGAAUAUUGCACAAUGGGCGAAAGCCUGAUGCAGCAACGCCGCGUGAGGGAUGACGGCCUUCGGGUUGUAAACCUCUUUUAGCAGGGAAGAAGCGAAAGUGACGGUACCUGCAGAAAAAGCGCCGGCUAACUACGUGCCAGCAGCCGCCGUAA
Molecule: ribosomal RNA, 482 nt
Filed under: uncultured bacterium
Lineage: Bacteria
Description: partial 16S ribosomal RNA
Rfam family: Bacterial small subunit ribosomal RNA
Source: RNAcentral